RNAcentral lists this ribosomal RNA (497 nucleotides) under uncultured bacterium. RNAcentral's name for it is "partial 16S ribosomal RNA". It matches the Rfam family "Bacterial small subunit ribosomal RNA", at positions 28 to 507 of the family's 1533-position model. The record is from RNAcentral.
GAUGAACGCUGGCGGCGUGCCUAAUACAUGCAAGUCGAGCGAACAGACGAGGAGCUUGCUCCUCUGACGUUAGCGGCGGACGGGUGAGUAACACGUGGAUAACCUACCUAUAAGACUGGGAUAACUUCGGGAAACCGGAGCUAAUACCGGAUAAUAUAUUGAACCGCAUGGUUCAAUAGUGAAAGACGGUUUUGCUGUCACUUAUAGAUGGAUCCGCGCCGCAUUAGCUAGUUGGUAAGGUAACGGCUUACCAAGGCAACGAUGCGUAGCCGACCUGAGAGGGUGAUCGGCCACACUGGAACUGAGACACGGUCCAGACUCCUACGGGAGGCAGCAGUAGGGAAUCUUCCGCAAAGGGCGAAAGCCUGACGGAGCAACGCCGCGUGAGUGAUGAAGGUCUUCGGAUCGUAAAACUCUGUUAUUAGGGAAGAACAAAUGUGUAAGUAACUAUGCACGCCUUGACGGUACCUAAUCAGAAAGCCACGGCUAACUACGUG